AGUGAACGCUGGCGGUCGGCCUAACACAUGCAAGUCGAACGGCAGCACAGUAAGAGCUUGCUCUUACGGGUGGCGAGUGGCAGACGGGUGAGGAAUACAUCGGAAUCUACUUUUUCGUGGGGGAUAACGUAGGGAAACUUACGCUAAUACCGCAUACGACCUACGGGUGAAAGCAGGGGAUCUUCGGACCUUGCGCGAUUGAAUGAGCCGAUGUCGGAUUAGCUAGUUGGCGGGGUAAAGGCCCACCAAGGCGACGAUCCGUAGCUGGUCUGAGAGGAUGAUCAGCCACACUGGAACUGAGACACGGUCCAGACUCCUACGGGAGGCAGCAGUGGGGAAUAUUGGACAAUGGGCGCAAGCCUGAUCCAGCCAUACCGCGUGGGUGAAGAAGGCCUUCGGGUUGUAAAGCCCUUUUGUUGGGAAAGAAAAGCAGCAGGUUAAUACCCCGCUGUUCUGACGGUACCCAAAGAAUAAGCACCGGCUAACUUCGUG
RNAcentral lists this ribosomal RNA (492 nucleotides) under uncultured bacterium. RNAcentral's name for it is "partial 16S ribosomal RNA". It matches the Rfam family "Bacterial small subunit ribosomal RNA", at positions 29 to 507 of the family's 1533-position model. The record is from RNAcentral.